Molecule: ribosomal RNA, 995 nt
Filed under: Salmonella enterica
Lineage: Bacteria; Pseudomonadati; Pseudomonadota; Gammaproteobacteria; Enterobacterales; Enterobacteriaceae
Description: partial 23S ribosomal RNA
Rfam family: Bacterial large subunit ribosomal RNA
Source: RNAcentral
GGUAUCCUGUCUGAAUAUGGGGGGACCAUCCUCCAAGGCUAAAUACUCCUGACUGACCGAUAGUGAACCAGUACCGUGAGGGAAAGGCGAAAAGAACCCCGGCGAGGGGAGUGAAAAAGAACCUGAAACCGUGUACGUACAAGCAGUGGGAGCCCCACCACCAAAGCAUUUGCUGUACCGCGUUGACGGAGCGAAGCGACGUCAAACCGAUAAAACAGCAGUGUAAAGUGAGCCGCAGGGCGCUUUGCGCGACAGCGCAAAGGCAGGCGGUUUCGCGUAGCGAAAGCGAAUGCUUUGGGGUGGGGUGACUGCGUACCUUUUGUAUAAUGGGUCAGCGACUUAUAUUCUGUAGCAAGGUUAACCGAAUAGGGGAGCCGGAGGGAAACCGAGUCUUAAUUGGGCGUUAAGUUGCAGGGUAUAGACCCGAAACCCGGUGAUCUAGCCAUGGGCAGGUUGAAGGUUGGGUAACACUAACUGGAGGACCGAACCGACUAAUGUUGAAAAAUUAGCGGAUGACCUGUGGCUGGGGGUGAAAGGCCAAUCAAACCGGGAGAUAGCUGGUUCUCCCCGAAAGCUAUUUAGGUAGCGCCUCGUGAAUUCAUCUCCGGGGGUAGAGCACUGUUUCGGCUAGGGGGCCAUCCCGGCUUACCAACCCGAUGCAAACUGCGAAUACCGGAGAAUGUUAUCACGGGAGACACACGGCGGGUGCUAACGUCCGUCGUGAAGAGGGAAACAACCCAGACCGCCAGCUAAGGUCCCAAAGUCAUGGUUAAGUGGGAAACGAUGUGGGAAGGCCCAGACAGCCAGGAUGUUGGCUUAGAAGCAGCCAUCAUUUAAAGAAAGCGUAAUAGCUCACUGGUCGAGUCGGCCUGCGCGGAAGAUGUAACGGGGCUAAACCAUGCACCGAAGCUGCGGCAGCGACACUGUGUGUUGUUGGGUAGGGGAGCGUUCUGUAAGCCUGUGAAGGUGUGUCGUGAGGCAUGCUGGAGGUAUCA